AGCAGUAGCCGCGGGAAUACGUAGGUGGCGAGCGUUGUCCGGAAUCAUUGGGCGUAGAGGGAGCGCAGGCGGGCAUGUAAGUCUUUCUUAAAAGUUCGGGGCUCAACCCCGUGAUGGGAAAGAAACUACAUGUCUUGAGUACAGGAGAGGAAAGCGGAAUUCCCAGUGUAGCGGUGAAAUGCGUAGAUAUUGGGAGGAACACCAGUGGCGAAGGCGGCUUUCUGGACUGCAACUGAUGCUGAGGCUCGAAAGCCAGGGGAGCGAACGGGAUUAGAUACCCCCGUAGUCCCUGUCUCUUAUACA
This 303-nucleotide ribosomal RNA is filed under the name uncultured bacterium. RNAcentral describes it as "partial 16S ribosomal RNA". It matches the Rfam family "Bacterial small subunit ribosomal RNA", at positions 507 to 809 of the family's 1533-position model. The record is from RNAcentral.